GACGAACGCUGGCGGCGUGCUUAACACAUGCAAGUCGAACGGAAAGGCCUGCAGCUUGCUGCGGGUACUCGAGUGGCGAACGGGUGAGUAACACGUGGGUGAUCUGCCUUGCACUUCGGGAUAAGCUUGGGAAACUGGGUCUAAUACCGGAUAGGACAGCUGUUUAGUGUCAGUUGUGGAAAGUUUUUUCGGUGCAAGAUGAGCUCGCGGCCUAUCAGCUUGUUGGUGGGGUAAUGGCCUACCAAGGCGUCGACGGGUAGCCGGCCUGAGAGGGUGUACGGCCACAUUGGGACUGAGAUACGGCCCAGACUCCUACGGGAGGCAGCAGUGAGGAAUAUUGCACAAUGGGCGGAAGCCUGAUGCAGCGACGCCGCGUGGGGGAUGAAGGCCUUCGGGUUGUAAACUCCUUUCGACAGGGACGAAGCGUAAGUGACGGUACCUGUAUAAGAAGCACCGGCUAACAACGUGCCAGCAGCCGCGGUAAUACGCAGGGUGCGAGCGUUGUCCGGAAUUACUGGGCGUAAAGAGCUCGUAGGUGGUUUGUCGCGUCGUCUGUGAAAUUCCGGGGCUUAACUCCGGGCGUGCAGGCGAUACGGGCUGACUUGAGUGCUGUAGGGGAGACUGGAAUUCCUGGUGUAGCGGUGAAAUGCGCAGAUAUCAGGAGGAACACCGAUGGCGAAGGCAGGUCUCUGGGCAGUAACUGACGCUGAGGAGCGAAAGCAUGGGUAGCGAACAGGAUUAGAUACCCUGGUAGUCCAUGCCGUAAACGGUGGGCGCUAGGUGUAGGGGGCUUCCACGUCUUCUGUGCCGUAGCUAACGCAUUAAGCGCCCCGCCUGGGGAGUACGGCCCGCAGGCUA
This 858-nucleotide ribosomal RNA is filed under the name uncultured Actinomycetes bacterium. RNAcentral describes it as "bacterial SSU rRNA". It matches the Rfam family "Bacterial small subunit ribosomal RNA", at positions 28 to 896 of the family's 1533-position model. The record is from RNAcentral. Lineage: Bacteria; Bacillati; Actinomycetota; Actinomycetes.